This 485-nucleotide ribosomal RNA is filed under the name uncultured bacterium. RNAcentral's name for it is "bacterial SSU rRNA". It matches the Rfam family "Bacterial small subunit ribosomal RNA", at positions 21 to 507 of the family's 1533-position model. The record is from RNAcentral.
GGCUCAGGAUGAACGCUAGCGGCAGGCUUAACACAUGCAAGUCGAGGGGUAUUGGUUUUCGGACCAAGAGACCGGCGCACGGGUGCGUAACGCGUAUGCAAUCUACCUUUUGCAGAGGGAUAGCCCAGAGAAAUUUGGAUUAAUACCUCAUAGUAUAGCAGUUUCGCAUGAAACCACUAUUAAAGUCACAACGGCAAAAGAUGAGCAUGCGUCCCAUUAGCUAGUUGGUAAGGUAACGGCUUACCAAGGCUACGAUGGGUAGGGGUCCUGAGAGGGAGAUCCCCCACACUGGUACUGAGACACGGACCAGACUCCUACGGGAGGCAGCAGUGAGGAAUAUUGGACAAUGGGCGCAAGCCUGAUCCAGCCAUGCCGCGUGCAGGAUGACGGUCCUAUGGAUUGUAAACUGCUUUUGUACAGGAAGAAACACUCCCUCGUGAGGGAGCUUGACGGUACUGUAAGAAUAAGGAUCGGCUAACUCCGUG